This 487-nucleotide ribosomal RNA is filed under the name uncultured Pantoea sp. RNAcentral's name for it is "bacterial SSU rRNA". It matches the Rfam family "Bacterial small subunit ribosomal RNA", at positions 120 to 603 of the family's 1533-position model. Lineage: Bacteria; Pseudomonadati; Pseudomonadota; Gammaproteobacteria; Enterobacterales; Erwiniaceae. The record is from RNAcentral.
GGGAUCUGCCCGAUAGAGGGGGAUAACCACUGGAAACGGUGGCUAAUACCGCAUAACGUCGCAAGACCAAAGAGGGGGACCUUCGGGCCUCUCACUAUCGGAUGAACCCAGAUGGGAUUAGCUAGUAGGCGGGGUAAUGGCCCACCUAGGCGACGAUCCCUAGCUGGUCUGAGAGGAUGACCAGCCACACUGGAACUGAGACACGGUCCAGACUCCUACGGGAGGCAGCAGUGGGGAAUAUUGCACAAUGGGCGCAAGCCUGAUGCAGCCAUGCCGCGUGUAUGAAGAAGGCCUUCGGGUUGUAAAGUACUUUCAGCGGGGAGGAAGGCGAUGGGGUUAAUAACCGCGUCGAUUGACGUUACCCGCAGAAGAAGCACCGGCUAACUCCGUGCCAGCAGCCGCGGUAAUACGGAGGGUGCAAGCGUUAAUCGGAAUUACUGGGCGUAAAGCGCACGCAGGCGGUCUGUUAAGUCAGAUGUGAAAUCCC